This 806-nucleotide ribosomal RNA is filed under the name uncultured bacterium. RNAcentral's name for it is "bacterial SSU rRNA". It matches the Rfam family "Bacterial small subunit ribosomal RNA", at positions 79 to 882 of the family's 1533-position model. The record is from RNAcentral.
CUUGCUUCUCUUGAGAGCGGCGGACGGGUGAGUAAUGCCUAGGAAUCUGCCUGGUAGUGGGGGAUAACGUUCGGAAACGGACGCUAAUACCGCAUACGUCCUACGGGAGAAAGCAGGGGACCUUCGGGCCUUGCGCUAUCAGAUGAGCCUAGGUCGGAUUAGCUAGUUGGUGGGGUAAUGGCUCACCAAGGCGACGAUCCGUAACUGGUCUGAGAGGAUGAUCAGUCACACUGGAACUGAGACACGGUCCAGACUCCUACGGGAGGCAGCAGUGGGGAAUAUUGGACAAUGGGCGAAAGCCUGAUCCAGCCAUGCCGCGUGUGUGAAGAAGGUCUUCGGAUUGUAAAGCACUUUAAGUUGGGAGGAAGGGUUGUAGAUUAAUACUCUGCAAUUUUGACGUUACCGACAGAAUAAGCACCGGCUAACUCUGUGCCAGCAGCCGCGGUAAUACAGAGGGUGCAAGCGUUAAUCGGAAUUACUGGGCGUAAAGCGCGCGUAGGUGGUUUGUUAAGUUGGAUGUGAAAUCCCCGGGCUCAACCUGGGAACUGCAUUCAAAACUGACUGACUAGAGUAUGGUAGAGGGUGGUGGAAUUUCCUGUGUAGCGGUGAAAUGCGUAGAUAUAGGAAGGAACACCAGUGGCGAAGCGACCACCUGGACUAAUACUGACACUGAUGUGCGAAAGCGUGGGGAGCAAACAGGAUUAGAUACCCUGGUAGUCCACGCCGUAAACGAUGUCAACUAGCCAUUGGAAGCCUUGAGCUUUUAGUGGCGCAGCUAACGCAUUAAGUUGACCGCCUGGGGAGUA